RNAcentral lists this ribosomal RNA (254 nucleotides) under uncultured bacterium. RNAcentral describes it as "partial 16S ribosomal RNA". It matches the Rfam family "Bacterial small subunit ribosomal RNA", at positions 524 to 776 of the family's 1533-position model. The record is from RNAcentral.
UACAGAGGUCUCAAGCGUUGUUCGGAAUCACUGGGCGUAAAGGGUGUGUAGGCGGUGUGCUAAGUCAGAUGUGAAAGCCCGGGGCUCAACCUCGGAACGUGCAUCCGAUACUGGCAUGCUAGAGAAUUGGAGAGGAGUCUAGAAUUCACGGUGUAGCAGUGAAAUGCGUAGAUAUCGUGAGGAAUACCAAGUGCGAAGGCAGGACUCUGGACAUUUUCUGACGCUGAGACACGAAGGCCAGGGGAGCAAACGGG